UCUUUCCGGCGAAUCCCCGGCGAGUUAGGAGUUGAGGUAGGUAUCAAUCUCUUCGUCUCGUCAAGUAAUACAACUUUCCUUUUUGUUUCACUCAAUUUCGUUGAGUAUUGAAGAAGUUAUACUCAUUUGAAACUUACCCAGUUUCCGGCGACCUCCGAGGCUUUCGAGGAAGUUUCCGGCCACACCACGGCGAACUAGGUGUUUUUCAAGGUACCAUUAUCUUUGUCUCUUCAAGGGCUACAACUUUCGUUUUUGAAUCACUUGAUUUCGUUGAGAAAUGACAAAG
Molecule: long non-coding RNA, 286 nt
Filed under: Malus domestica (apple)
Lineage: Eukaryota; Viridiplantae; Streptophyta; Magnoliopsida; Rosales; Rosaceae
Description: long non-coding RNA (MDOM_LNC004074)
Source: RNAcentral